CGGGACACGUGGUAUCCUGUCUGAAUAUGGGGGGACCAUCCUCCAAGGCUAAAUACUCCUGACUGACCGAUAGUGAACCAGUACCGUGAGGGAAAGGCGAAAAGAACCCCGGCGAGGGGAGUGAAAAAGAACCUGAAACCGUGUACGUACAAGCAGUGGGAGCCUCUUUAUGGGGUGACUGCGUACCUUUUGUAUAAUGGGUCAGCGACUUAUAUUCUGUAGCAAGGUUAACCGAAUAGGGGAGCCGAAGGGAAACCGAGUCUUAACUGGGCGUUAAGUUGCAGGGUAUAGACCCGAAACCCGGUGAUCUAGCCAUGGGCAGGUUGAAGGUUGGGUAACACUAACUGGAGGACCGAACCGACUAAUGUUGAAAAAUUAGCGGAUGACUUGUGGCUGGGGGUGAAAGGCCAAUCAAACCGGGAGAUAGCUGGUUCUCCCCGAAAGCUAUUUAGGUAGCGCCUCGUGAAUUCAUCUCCGGGGGUAGAGCACUGUUUCGGCAAGGGGGUCAUCCCGACUUACCAACCCGAUGCAAACUGCGAAUACCGGAGAAUGUUAUCACGGGAGACACACGGCGGGUGCUAACGUCCGUCGUGAAGAGGGAAACAACCCAGACCGCCAGCUAAGGUCCCAAAGUCAUGGUUAAGUGGGAAACGAUGUGGGAAGGCCCAGACAGCCAGGAUGUUGGCUUAGAAGCAGCCAUCAUUUAAAGAAAGCGUAAUAGCUCACUGGUCGAGUCGGCCUGCGCGGAAGAUGUAACGGGGCUAAACCAUGCACCGAAGCUGCGGCAGCGACACUAUGUGUUGUUGGGUAGGGGAGCGUUCUGUAAGCCUGCGAAGGUGUACUGUGAGGUAUGCUGGAGGUAUCAGAAGUGCGAAUGCUGACAUAAGUAACGAUAAAGCGGGUGAAAAGCCCGCUCGCCGGAAGACCAAGGGUUCCUGUCCAACGUUAAUCGGGGCAGGGUGAGUCGACCCCUAAG
RNAcentral lists this ribosomal RNA (976 nucleotides) under Escherichia coli. Its description in RNAcentral is "partial 23S ribosomal RNA". It matches the Rfam family "Bacterial large subunit ribosomal RNA", at positions 418 to 1395 of the family's 2925-position model. The record is from RNAcentral. Lineage: Bacteria; Pseudomonadati; Pseudomonadota; Gammaproteobacteria; Enterobacterales; Enterobacteriaceae.